UGUCUUCGGGGCGGGGUGCGAUUCCCCACCGGCAGUGAGAGUCUGCGAGCCGAGCGUUUCGAUUGCGAAGCGGGAGGUUGAACCGGUGCAAUUCCGGUACCGACGGUACAGUCCGGAUGUGAGAGGAUG
Molecule: non-coding RNA, 129 nt
Filed under: bovine gut metagenome
Description: FMN riboswitch (RFN element)
Rfam family: FMN riboswitch aptamer (RFN element)
About the family: The RFN element is a highly conserved domain that is found frequently in the 5'-untranslated regions of prokaryotic mRNAs that encode for flavin mononucleotide (FMN) biosynthesis and transport proteins.
Source: RNAcentral